Molecule: long non-coding RNA, 784 nt
Organism: Cryptomeria japonica (Japanese cedar)
Lineage: Eukaryota; Viridiplantae; Streptophyta; Pinopsida; Cupressales; Cupressaceae
Exons: 3
Source: RefSeq, a predicted model, not a curated record
UUGGCCCCGACAUCAAUUUGAAAGAAGAGAGAGUUUUCUUCGCGUCUCUUCUUUCAAUUACGAUGGCAAAACAGCUCUGUAUUAUGCCGCUCAAGCAGAAAAUGAUGAUGAUGCUUUGGCAAUUGCUAAAUUGCUUUUGAAGAAAUGCGAAUCCGAUGAACACAGAAGCCUGCUUUUGUUUGCUUCUGCUGUUGGAAUCGGUUCUGCAGAAAAAUGUUUAAGCUCCAAUUCUAAUAUCAACAAAUUUCUUGAGAGCACAAGUGGUGAAAUAAUGCAAGCACCAAGGGCGGAGAAUUUGCUUAGGGUUGCAGCAUCGUUAGGCAACGCAGAUAUGACGAGGGAGCAAGCAUGGAACUCAUUCGAAGUGAGAAAUGGAUAGCCGGUCUCUCACCAGAGAGAAAAAAAAUGUCGAAGAUGUUCGCAAGAUGCCUCCUGCAUUCAAAGAUAACCUCUGGCAGAAUCUUGAGUAGAAACAAUGAAACCUCUGGCAGAAUCUGAAGCUAAACCUCUGGCAGAAUCUUGACGAUCUUGAGGAUAACCUUAGAAUAGUAGUCUUUGUUGACGAUCUUGAUCGUUGCCAAGAAAAUGUGAUUCUGCAGAUACAUUCAGGAGUGAAUCUGGUUUUGGCUGUUUCCAAGAUCAACGUAAUUUGGGGAUGGACAAGAGAAUGAUGGAGGGGCGCGGUUAAUCUGGUUCUAAAAUUGUGAUGUCAUACAAUGCAUAAUUUUUCUGUUAUGUAGACAGAAAAAUUGUAAAAUAGGUACAGAAUGAUUGUGGGACUCAA